Non-coding RNA from Cinara cedri, 685 nucleotides. Lineage: Eukaryota; Metazoa; Arthropoda; Insecta; Hemiptera; Aphididae. The record is from the annotation of a GenBank genome assembly.
CCGCACUCUAUAUGACAAUAAGUGUAUUAUAUAGUAACAAAACCGAAAUCGAAUUUUUACGCCGUUCCUCCCACGACCGUGCGGUGUCGCGGUCCACAGAAUCGUUUUGUAUAGACACCUUCACAUUUAUAUAUGUGUAUAUUGUAUACACUAUACAGGAUGUGCAUAACGUAUAUACUAUGUUAUAUAGUCUUGUCGGUCGUCAAAGGCCCAGGAAAGUUGUUUUUCGGCUAUAACCCGCAAAAGCUUUCCCGAAACGCCGCGGCAGACUCCGCAUGGUAUUAGUGGAAAACGUAAUCGAAUCGCACGCGAGUGUACACUGCACAUAAUAACAUAAACGAAUCCUACAGUGAAAAACGAGUUGGAGGGGGGAGGUCAAGAGGAGGGAAACGAAAUCCCUAGUCGACGAAUAAUCCCGGCGACGGCAGCAUGGAGGCAAAAUAAAAAAAAAAAACCUACAGCAGCCGACACAGGGUGUACACAAAUAUAUAGUACGACACGCUAUUUAUGUAUAAUGCAAUGCACUGUGAUGACUCUCUCCCCUCCUCCUCUUCCGUUUCAAAUCUCGAAAUCGAAAAGGAUAUUUUUUGAAAAUGUUGAGAUUAACUCUUGUACGUAAUCCGUCGGUUUUUGAACUUUUUUUUAUUUAAAAAAAUGCGAAAUGCAAGUACGUAAACAGACAUCA